UAGAACUAUGUAAAGUCGUUUUGGUGAGUUUUCGUGCAAACACGCGAAACUCUUCCUAAAAUUAAUGAAAAAAAAUAGAGAACAGUUUUCAUUAAUCAAUGGCAUAUCUAUAAAUACGACUAACCCUAUUUCCCUUCCAAAUCGACGUUAAAGCUGCCUCUCACUCUUUUGUCUCUAUAGUUCGGCAUCUACGAUUCUCUCCGCCUCAACAAUCCUCGUCGAUAUUCUCUUCAAUCUUGGCUAUUUGAUUCGCCCUCUACUCCGAGACGAAUUCGAAGAGUGAUCACCCACAAAGUUCUGCUUUACCAAGACAAACAUGGAGACAACUAAUGACAAUAUGGAGGACACUUCAUUGUGGAGUCCUAUCAUGGAGAAGUUGUUUGUUGAUAUCAUGGUUGAACAAGCAAAUAAGGGGAAUAUGAAGGGUGGGGUCUUUCAUAACAAGAUCUGGAGCUCAAUUUUUGGUUGAGUUGCAUACCAAGUCUGGAAGAUCUUACCAGAUUAAACAAAUCAAGGUAAAGUUUCAUCAGUUGAGGAUUAAACACCGUGUAUUUUUUGAUCUUCUAAACCAUACUGAUUGGAUCAUUGUAACACAGCAAAUGUUUAGUCUAUUUAAUUAGAAUAAAACACCAUCGAUGUUAAUGUUUACAAAAAUGUUCUAGAUCCUAGUAAAAAGUAUCACAGUUAUCCUAGUAGUGGAUCUUGUCCCUUGAUUGAUGUAAGUGUAGGGGCCUACAAAACCUUAUGAUUGAACCAGAGUGACACAUCCACUACUGGUAUGCUUUUUACUGGGAUCCCUAUAACUUCUGUAAUGUUUAACUCUAUGAUAAUGUCGUCUUUUUUUUGAUUA
This is a long non-coding RNA of Tripterygium wilfordii, 850 nucleotides long. RefSeq lists it as uncharacterized. The transcript is spliced from 2 exons. The record is from RefSeq and is a predicted model, not a curated record. NCBI's taxonomy places the organism in Eukaryota, Viridiplantae, Streptophyta, Magnoliopsida, Celastrales, Celastraceae.